AAUCCGUCGAUUUCUAAAAUCGUGAGGGUUCAAGUCCCU
RNAcentral lists this transfer RNA (39 nucleotides) under Pseudogynoxys haenkei. RNAcentral describes it as "partial tRNA-Leu". Lineage: Eukaryota; Viridiplantae; Streptophyta; Magnoliopsida; Asterales; Asteraceae. The record is from RNAcentral.